Molecule: ribosomal RNA, 455 nt
Filed under: uncultured organism
Description: partial 16S ribosomal RNA
Rfam family: Bacterial small subunit ribosomal RNA
Source: RNAcentral
CGUACACUCCUGCGGGAGGCAGCAGUGAGGAAUAUUGGACAAUGGGUGGAAGCCUGAUCCAGCCAUGCCGCGUGAGUGAUGAAGGCCCUAGGGUUGUAAAGCUCUUUCACCGGUGAAGAUAAUGACGGUAACCGGAGAAGAAGCCCCGGCUAACUUCGUGCCAGCAGCCGCGGUAAUACGAAGGGGGCUAGCGUUGUUCGGAUUUACUGGGCGUAAAGCGCACGUAGGCGGACUAUUAAGUCAGGGGUGAAAUCCCGGGGCUCAACCCCGGAACUGCCUUUGAUACUGGUAGUCUUGAGUUCGAGAGAGGUGAGUGGAAUUCCGAGUGUAGAGGUGAAAUUCGUAGAUAUUCGGAGGAACACCAGUGGCGAAGGUGGCUCACUGGCUCGAUACUGACGCUGAGGUGCGAAAGCGUGGGGAGCAAACAGGAUUAGAUACCCUAGUAGUCCCAUGAU